Long non-coding RNA from Aricia agestis (brown argus), 127 nucleotides. RefSeq lists it as uncharacterized. The transcript is spliced from 3 exons. The record is from RefSeq and is a predicted model, not a curated record. NCBI's taxonomy places the organism in Eukaryota, Metazoa, Arthropoda, Insecta, Lepidoptera, Lycaenidae.
GUUUUGUUACACCUUGUAUACUUAUUAGAGAUGUGCCGAUCAUGACUUUGGCUGACAAGCCGACUAGCCGGUUAGUCGGCUGCAAAUAAGCCGACUAAUCGGCCGACUAGUCGGCCAAGCCGAUUAU